Molecule: long non-coding RNA, 286 nt
Filed under: Carica papaya (papaya)
Lineage: Eukaryota; Viridiplantae; Streptophyta; Magnoliopsida; Brassicales; Caricaceae
Description: long non-coding RNA (CPAP_LNC007336)
Source: RNAcentral
UUUCACUUGAACUUCCUUGAGAAGUGCUGAUGCAACAUGAGUUGGAGAAUAAGGUGGAGUUGCCUCUUGCAAAGGUACCAUGGUCUCUUGGUCUUCCUCUUUAAAGUAUGGAAAGAAAUCAUAAGUAUUUUUUUCUUUCUUCUCCCAAUUCCAAGUCACUUGUUCAUCAAAUUAAUAUCUUUACUUACCAUGAUCUUGUCAUUGCUUGAAUUAUACAAUUUAUAGCCCUUUGAGUUUGCAUCAUACCUAAUAAAAAUAUGUUUGACACUUCGAUCAUCGAGUUUGG